This 829-nucleotide ribosomal RNA is filed under the name uncultured bacterium. RNAcentral's name for it is "bacterial SSU rRNA". It matches the Rfam family "Bacterial small subunit ribosomal RNA", at positions 51 to 893 of the family's 1533-position model. The record is from RNAcentral.
ACACAUGCAAGUCGAACGAGCGAGAGAGAGCUUGCUUUCUCAAGCGAGUGGCGAACGGGUGAGUAACGCGUGAGGAACCUGCCUCAAAGAGGGGGACAACAGUUGGAAACGACUGCUAAUACCGCAUAAGCCCACAGGUCGGCAUCGACCGGAGGGAAAAGGAGCAAUCCGCUUUGAGAUGGCCUCGCGUCCGAUUAGCUAGUUGGUGAGGUAACGGCCCACCAAGGCAACGAUCGGUAGCCGGACUGAGAGGUUGAACGGCCACAUUGGGACUGAGACACGGCCCAGACUCCUACGGGAGGCAGCAGUGGGGAAUAUUGCACAAUGGGGGAAACCCUGAUGCAGCGACGCCGCGUGGAGGAAGAAGGUCUUCGGAUUGUAAACUCCUGUUGUUGAGGAAGAUAAUGACGGUACUCAACAAGGAAGUGACGGCUAACUACGUGCCAGCAGCCGCGGUAAAACGUAGGUCACAAGCGUUGUCCGGAAUUACUGGGUGUAAAGGGAGCGCAGGCGGGAAGACAAGUUGGAAGUGAAAUCUAUGGGCUCAACCCAUAAACUGCUUUCAAAACUGUUUUUCUUGAGUAGUGCAGAGGUAGGCGGAAUUCCCGGUGUAGCGGUGGAAUGCGUAGAUAUCGGGAGGAACACCAGUGGCGAAGGCGGCCUACUGGGCACCAACUGACGCUGAGGCUCGAAAGUGUGGGUAGCAAACAGGAUUAGAUACCCUGGUAGUCCACACCGUAAACGAUGAUUACUAGGUGUUGGAGGAUUGACCCCUUCAGUGCCGCAGUUAACACAAUAAGUAAUCCACCUGGGGAGUACGACCGCAAGG